UACGUAGGGUGCAAGCGUUGUCCGGAAUUAUUGGGCGUAAAGAGCUCGUAGGCGGUCUGUCGCGUCUGCUGUGAAAACUCGGGGCUUAACCCCGGGCCUGCAGUGGGUACGGGCAGACUAGAGUGCGGUAGGGGAGACUGGAAUUCCUGGUGUAGCGGUGAAAUGCGCAGAUAUCAGGAGGAACACCGGUGGCGAAGGCGGGUCUCUGGGCCGGUACUGACGCUGAGGAGCGAAAGCGUGGGGAGCGAACAGG
Molecule: ribosomal RNA, 253 nt
Filed under: uncultured bacterium
Lineage: Bacteria
Description: partial 16S ribosomal RNA
Rfam family: Bacterial small subunit ribosomal RNA
Source: RNAcentral